UACAGAGGUCUCAAGCGUUGUUCGGAUUCAUUGGGCGUAAAGGGUGUGUAGGUGGCGCCGUAAGUCGGGUGUGAAAUUUCGGAGCUUAACUCCGAAACUGCAUUCGAUACUGCGGUGCUUGAGGACUGGAGAGGAGACUGGAAUUCAUGGUGUAGCAGUGAAAUGCGUAGAGAUCAUGAGGAACACCGGUGGCGAAGGCGGCCAACUGGACAGAUACUGACGCUGAGACUCGAAAGCGUGGGGAGCAAACAGG
RNAcentral lists this ribosomal RNA (253 nucleotides) under uncultured bacterium. RNAcentral's name for it is "partial 16S ribosomal RNA". It matches the Rfam family "Bacterial small subunit ribosomal RNA", at positions 524 to 776 of the family's 1533-position model. The record is from RNAcentral.